GAUGAACGCUGGCGGCGUGCCUAAUACAUGCAAGUCGAGCGAACAGACGAGGAGCUUGCUCCUCUGACGUUAGCGGCGGACGGGGGAGUAACACGUGGAUAACCUACCUAUAAGACUGGGAUAACUUCGGGAAACCGGAGCUAAUACCGGAUAAUAUAUUGAACCGCAUGGUUCAAUAGUGAAAGACGGUUUUGCUGUCACUUAUAGAUGGAUCCGCGCCGCAUUAGCUAGUUGGUAAGGUAACGGCUUACCAAGGCAACGAUGCGUAGCCGACCUGAGAGGGUGAUCGGCCACACUGGAACUGAGACACGGGCCAGAGUCUCACGGGAGGCAGCGGUAGGGAAUAUUCCGCAAUGGGCGAAAGCCUGACGGAGCAACGCGGCGUGAGUGAUGAAGGUCUUCGGAUCGUAAAACUCUGUUAUUAGGGAAGAACAAAUGUGUAAGUAACUAUGCACGUCUGGACGGUACCUAAUCAGAAAACCCCGGUUAACUACGU
This 496-nucleotide ribosomal RNA is filed under the name uncultured bacterium. RNAcentral's name for it is "partial 16S ribosomal RNA". It matches the Rfam family "Bacterial small subunit ribosomal RNA", at positions 28 to 506 of the family's 1533-position model. The record is from RNAcentral.